UUUGAUUUUACACUUGAAUGAAGGUGAUCUUUUUAGAGUACAAGAAGAACAUGAAAGCAGGCGAGCGGCGGAGGGCAAGGUCUUGAUAGUUGUGGAGUUUGAUUCAGUAGUGGACGAGGAGGACUGGGUAAAAUUUUAUUCGUCUGUGACAAAUCUGAAGAAAGGGAGCAAGGUGGUGAUCAUCAGCAACCUUAGAAAAUUUGACACAUUUGCAACUGUUAAGCCAAUUUUUCUCAGUACCCUGCCAUAUGCGGAGUUCAGGUACCUCUUCAAGAUACUCGCAUUCGGAAGCACAAACCCCAUGGAACAUCCUCAGCUGUUAAAGAUUGUCGACGAAUUAUCCAAGGAGUUGCAACUGGG
This 360-nucleotide long non-coding RNA is filed under the name Sorghum bicolor (sorghum). RNAcentral describes it as "long non-coding RNA (SBIC_LNC001563)". Lineage: Eukaryota; Viridiplantae; Streptophyta; Magnoliopsida; Poales; Poaceae. The record is from RNAcentral.